CACAAGUAAACACAAAAUGCAUUGUCAAUUAAAUGUAUAUUUUCUGUAUAUCAGUCUCUAUUUCUAGAUCUCUAUCCUCAGAGCAUUAACCUCGCUGAAAGGACGUAACAGACACGUCAAUGCUGUCAAUCCGUGAUCCCUACAGACGGACCCCCCGCCGCAGUUUAGAUAAAAUGAAUAGAAAGACUGGGCCUGUCAACUGGACAAGAAGUCGAAGUGACUGACGACCAAGUACAAUUUCCAUUUACCUCAGAGGAGGAAGUGGAGCUUUUUGAGGAUCGCCUUAAAGAUCCCUCCAACUCUCAGCUGAAGAAGAGUGUGAUUUCUUCCCUGGCAACCAUCGGAGGACAUGAUACAAAACGGGUUACACGGAACAUCCUGCCCGCAUGUUCAGUGAUGAUGUUGGGAAGACCAUCAACUGGAAAUUGGGAUAAAUGGGGAAAAAGUCCUUCAGCCAGAUGGCGUCAAAGACUUUGCUCCUGCAUGCCGUCAGAAAGAAUCAUGUCUCACGUUCCGCCACUGAUGAGGAGAUUCUGAAUCAGCAAUGAGGUGGUUCAACCUGGCAGCAGGCGGGGGAAGCUCCAGGAGGCGUGCCACUGUCAGCAUCCCUACUGAACAAACCUACAUGUGUUAUACAUGUGAUGUAAAAUCCUUGUAAAU
This is a long non-coding RNA of Anarrhichthys ocellatus (wolf-eel), 660 nucleotides long. RefSeq lists it as uncharacterized. The record is from RefSeq and is a predicted model, not a curated record. Lineage: Eukaryota; Metazoa; Chordata; Actinopteri; Perciformes; Anarhichadidae. The transcript has 4 exons.